Molecule: ribosomal RNA, 1334 nt
Filed under: Culex pipiens pallens (northern house mosquito)
Lineage: Eukaryota; Metazoa; Arthropoda; Insecta; Diptera; Culicidae
Description: 16S ribosomal RNA
Rfam family: Archaeal large subunit ribosomal RNA (bases 1081-1240)
Source: RNAcentral
GAUUAGAUUUUAUUUAUUAAUUUUAUUUAUUUAUUUAAUUUAUUUAAUAAAAAUAAUUUUAAAAUUUUAAGUUUUAGUAUUUUAUUAAAGAAAAAAAUAUUUUAAUUAUAGUUUAUUUGUAUUGUAAAAGAAAAUUGAAAUAAUUUGAAAAAUUUUUAUUUUAUAUGAAAAUUAAUUUAUGUACCUUGUGUAUCAGGGUUUAUUAAAUAAAAAAUUAUUAUAUAAUUUUUCUCGAAUUUUAAAGAUUUAAUUAUAUAUAAAAGUUACUGUGGAAUAAUUAUUUUUAAUAUAUAAUUAGAAAUGAAAUGUUAAUCGUUUUAAAAUAUAUCUAGUUUUUUAAGAAAUAAAUUUAAUUUAGACUUAUAAAUUUAAAUUAUUUAAUUAAUAUAAAUAAUUUAAUUUAUAAGAUUAAUAUUUUAAGGGAUUAGCUUUAAAAUAAAUUUUUAAAUUUUAAAUUAAUUAUUUAAUAAAUAUAAGCUUAAAAAUAGCUAUUAUUAAUAAAUUUGUUAUAAUUUAUUUUAAAAAUUUAAUUAUUUAUUAUAAAAUUAAAUUAUUUAUUAAAAUAUAAAUUUUAAUAAUAAAAAUUUAUAAAUUAUGAUAAAAUUAGUAUAUAAAAUUUUUAUAAAUAAUUAUUUAUGAAAGGUUUAAAUAAGGAAUUCGGCAAAAUAUAUAUUCACCUGUUUAUCAAAAACAUGUCUUUUUGAAUUAAAUUUAAAGUCUAACCUGCCCACUGAUAUAAAUUAAAGGGCCGCAGUAUUUUGACUGUGCGAAGGUAGCAUAAUCACUAGUCUUUUAAUUGGAGGCUUGUAUGAAUGGUUGAAUGAGAUAUAUACUGUCUUUUUUAAAAUUAUAUAGAAUUUUAUUUUUUAAUUAAAAAGUUAAAAUAAAAUUAAAGGACGAGAAGACCCUAUAGAUCUUUAUUUUUGUUAUUUAUAAAUUAAAAAGAAUUUUAAAAUUUAUAAUUUAAUAAAAAAUUUUAUUGGGGUGAUAUUAAAAUUUAAAAAACUUUUAAAAUUUAUUAACAUAAAUAUAUGAAUAAAUGAUCCAGUUUUAUUGAUUAAAAAUUUAAGUUACCUUAGGGAUAACAGCGUAAUUUUUUUUUAGAGUUCAUAUCGACAAAAAAGAUUGCGACCUCGAUGUUGGAUUAAGAGUUAUUUUUAGGUGUAGAAGUUUAAAGUUUAGGUCUGUUCGACCUUUGAAUUCUUACAUGAUCUGAGUUCAAACCGGCGUAAGCCAGGUUGGUUUCUAUCCUUAAUUAAUUAUUAUGUUAUAGUACGAAAGGACCUAAUAUAAGAAAUAUAAAUUUUAAUAAUAUGAUUAAUAUUAAUAUUAGA